GGAAUAUUGGACAAUGGGCGCAAGCCUGAUCCAGCCAUGCCGCGUGUGUGAAGAAGGCCUUCGGGUUGUAAAGCACUUUCAGCGAGGAGGAAGGGUGUUGUGUUAAUAGCACAGCAUUUUGACGUUACUCGCAGAAGAAGCAUCGGCUAACCCCGUGCCAGCAGCCGCGGUAAUACGGAGGGUGCAAGCGUUAAUCGGAAUUACUGGGCGUAAAGCGCACGCAGGCGGCUUUUUAAGUCGGAUGUGAAAGCCCCGGGCUCAACCUGGGAAUUGCAUUCGAUACUGGGGAGCUAGAGUAUGUGAGAGGGGGGUAGAAUUCCAAGUGUAGCGGUGAAAUGCGUAGAGAUUUGGAGGAAUACCAGUGGCGAAGGCGACUGUCUGGGCUGAUACUGACGCUGAGGUGCGAAAGCGUGGGGAGC
This 419-nucleotide ribosomal RNA is filed under the name uncultured bacterium. RNAcentral's name for it is "bacterial SSU rRNA". It matches the Rfam family "Bacterial small subunit ribosomal RNA", at positions 358 to 769 of the family's 1533-position model. The record is from RNAcentral.